GUGUCAGCAGCCGCGGUAAUACGAGGGGGGCAAAUGUUGUUCGGAAUCACUGGGCGUAAAGGGAGCGUAGGCGGGUGUUUAAGUUAGGUGUUUAAUCCUGGGGCCCAACCCCAGUCGUGCACUUAAAACUGGACAUCUUGAAUAGUGGAGAGGUCAGUGGAAUUGGGGGUGUAGCGGUGGAAUGCGUAGAGAUCCCCAAGAACACCAGUUGCGAAGGCGGCUGACUGGACACAUAUUGACGCUGAGGCUCGAAAGCAUGGGGAGCAAACAGGAUUAGAUACCCCUGUAGUCC
RNAcentral lists this ribosomal RNA (292 nucleotides) under uncultured bacterium. Its description in RNAcentral is "partial 16S ribosomal RNA". It matches the Rfam family "Bacterial small subunit ribosomal RNA", at positions 505 to 796 of the family's 1533-position model. The record is from RNAcentral.